CAACCUCAAAUGUUUCCUCCUAACUUCAAGC
This 31-nucleotide non-coding RNA is filed under the name Rattus norvegicus (Norway rat). The record is from RNAcentral. Lineage: Eukaryota; Metazoa; Chordata; Mammalia; Rodentia; Muridae.